RNAcentral lists this ribosomal RNA (253 nucleotides) under uncultured bacterium. RNAcentral describes it as "partial 16S ribosomal RNA". It matches the Rfam family "Bacterial small subunit ribosomal RNA", at positions 524 to 776 of the family's 1533-position model. The record is from RNAcentral.
UACGUAGGUGGCGAGCGUUGUCCGGAUUUACUGGGCGUAAAGAGCGCGCAGGCGGUCGUUCAAGUCGCGUGUGAAAGCCCCCGGCUCAACUGGGGAGGGUCACGCGAUACUGAUCGACUCGAAGGCAGGAGAGGGAAGUGGAAUUCCCGGUGUAGUGGUGAAAUGCGUAGAUAUUCGCAAGAACACCAGUGGCGAAGGCGGCUCACUGGCCCGAUACUGACGCUGAGGCACGAAAGCGUGGGGAGCAAACAGG